UACAGAGGGUGCGAGCGUUAAUCGGAAUUACUGGGCGUAAAGAGUGCGUAGGUGGAUUUAAAAGUCAGAUGUGAAAGACCAGGGCUUAACCUUGGGGUUUGCAUUUGGUACUGUGAAUCUAGAAUGUGGUAGGGGGUAGUGGAAUUUCCGGAGUAGCGGUGAAAUGCGUAGAUAUCGGAAGGAACACCAGUGGCGAAGGCGACUACCUGGACUGACAUUGACACUGUGGCACGAAAGCGUGGGUAGCGAACAGG
RNAcentral lists this ribosomal RNA (254 nucleotides) under uncultured Neptuniibacter sp. Its description in RNAcentral is "partial 16S ribosomal RNA". It matches the Rfam family "Bacterial small subunit ribosomal RNA", at positions 524 to 776 of the family's 1533-position model. Lineage: Bacteria; Pseudomonadati; Pseudomonadota; Gammaproteobacteria; Oceanospirillales; Oceanospirillaceae. The record is from RNAcentral.